ACGCAGCUGAACCUAUUUAUUUAUUUGUUUUGCUUUUCAGGGCCGCGCCUGCAGCACAUGGACGUUCCCAGGCCAGGGGUCUCCUAGGAGCUACAGCUGCCAGCCCACACCUGAGCUGAGUCUGCGACCUACACCACAGCUCACGGCAAUGCCAGAUCCUUAAUCCACUGAACGAAGCCAGCUGCUGUAGCUGAUUUCGACCCCUAGCCUGGGAAUCUCCAUAUGCCGUGGGUGCAGCCCUAAAAAGAACAACAACAACAAAAAAAUCCAAGUGCAGCAGCUCAGGUCACUGCCAAGGUGAGGGGUGGAUGGAUUCCCAGCCCUGCUCAGUAGGUUAAAGGAUCUGGCGUUGCCAUGGUCGCGGUGUAGGUCACAGGCAGCUGUGGCUGGGAUUCAAUCCCUGGCCCCGAAACCUCCACAUGCCCUGAGUGCAGCCACAACAUUAAAAGAACAUCUACUAAUUUCCAAAUGGCUGCUCUGUCAAAUCAUUCCGAAAUCAGUUACUACAACACGAACGUAGCCCCUGGCCGUUCUGGAGGUCGAGGCUGACAGCAGCCUCCCUGCACUGCAGGGUCAGCAGAGCUGUUCCUUGGGGGGCUCUGGGGCCAAACUCUGUCCCCGGCCUUUCCCACUGCUGGAGGCUCCCCACCGCCCUCCCUUUGCAAAACUCAGCAACUAGGGGUCGCAGCCUCCCCUCCCUGCCUCAUGCUGCCCUCCCCCCUUCCACUUUUAGGGACCCCUGUAAUUACACGGAGACCCCCCGCAAAGUCCAGGUCACCCUCACCGUCUGGAGGUCGGCGGAGGAGCAGCCUCAUUCCCCUUUGCCCUGCACCCUGACACAGGCACCACCGCGGGGACAGGAGAGGGCCAUCUCUGGUCGGGAGCCUCCUCCUGCCUGCGACGGCAGCUGUGAAGACAAGCCCGCAUCCUCAGCGCUGGGGAAGGAGUGUAGGCUCCCUGCUCUUGGCCCUUGGCAGUGGCCCACGGGGUGUGCAGGGAAGCUCGUGCAGACGAAAGGCGUCUCCACAUGCACAGGGUCCCCGCUGGGUGGCAACGGGACUGAUGGCCUCUUGGGAGCACUGAGGUGCAGUGGGUAAGGCUCUGGUGGUGCUGCAGCUCUGGCUUAGGUCACAACUAGGGCUCCGAUCUGAUCCCUGUGCGGCGGGGCGGCCAAAAAAGGGAAAAACCACGUCCUUAUGCACAGACAGUGUGAUCCUGUGUGUGGCCUAAGGAGUCAGAUACACACACACCGGGAAUUAAGAAGCUGAGCCGGAGAAAUCUGUUGGGAUUACACAGGCUAAAGCCAACCUGAAAACAAAAUCACACCAGUUCCACUCACCACGACAUCAAGACAAAUAAAAUACUCAGAAAUCACUUUAUCAAACCUACUGUAAGAUUCAUACGCUAAAAACUACCCCGUC
RNAcentral lists this long non-coding RNA (1421 nucleotides) under Sus scrofa (pig). RNAcentral's name for it is "lncRNA (ENSSSCG00005040457.1)". Lineage: Eukaryota; Metazoa; Chordata; Mammalia; Artiodactyla; Suidae. The record is from RNAcentral.